Molecule: long non-coding RNA, 1795 nt
Filed under: Mytilus galloprovincialis (Mediterranean mussel)
Lineage: Eukaryota; Metazoa; Mollusca; Bivalvia; Mytilida; Mytilidae
Source: RNAcentral
ACAACAAUAUUUGUAUAGUAUAAUUCUAACCAUUUUUACGGAUGUUUUAUUUAUCUUUUUAAGUGGGUGCACUAACAGUAAUUGUGGUUUGUAAGUAUUUGCUCAUUUAAAAUGUUUUUUUUUAAGCGAGUCCUUAUUCAUUUCACUGCAAGCCAGUGACCGUCUGAAAUUGGUACUAUUUUAAAAUGACCAUUCUAUGUAAUUCUAUUAUUUUCGUAUGUUCAUCGGAUAGUUUAGAUAAUUCUGCUUAUAUAUACUCUAUGCGAGCGACCGACUUGUGAUCUAUUUUGAUCUGGAGAAUACUAAACAUUAUGAAAUAGUACUUCAACAUACUGAUACAAUUUAGACUUAUGGUCAUCCAAUGCUUUGACCAAGUAUGCCCAUCUUUUUAUUUCUGAAUCAUAACCAACAAUCACAAAAAAAAGUACAAACUGAUUCUAUUUUAUCAAUUAUGAAUUCUAAUGCAACAACGUUUUUAACGUUCAUUUUGAUUGGAUUUUAUAAAUUAUGAAUUUGCAUCUUACUACAGCUAUACAGUAGUUCAAAUUGUUAUGUUUUGACUUUGUAUUGCAAUUUCUAUUGUAUGUUUAAGAGAAACACUCAUAUAUUUGAACUAAUUGUCGAUAUCAAGGUUUCAAAGGUAUAAAAAUAAUUUUUCAUGUGAACAAAAGGUCAAUAAUGUAAUGGUUUCUAUAUAUAAAAAAAAUGCAAUUUGCUACAACUAAGGAUAUUGAAAGUAACAUAGUACAUGUAUAGUUCUAUUGAUUAUAUAAGAUGGCAUUCAUUGGUUCAAAUAAGUGUUGAGGUAAGGUACAUACUUGAUCAAAGUAUGGUUCGGACUCGAUCCGCGUUUGAUUCUGACUUGACAUGUUAAACUUGAGUGUUAGUCACAUGAUAUAAAAUAUAUAAGAACUUGUCAAGUAAAAAUCAGAUAUAAAUUCAGACUGUUAAAUAUGAACUAUUUGUACGUCGAGUAAAAUUAAGUUAAUUAACGACCCUUUAAAAAUGCAUGCAUGCUAAUGUAAGACUGUUCCUUACGUCGUAAAUACAAUCAGCUUUCCGUUCAUGAAUGUCACCUACUGAAUAAUAGAAUUGAAAAUGCAUUUUACUUCUGUUUAGGUUUGAAUUAGAUGUCUCUAUAUCUUUUGAAAAUGAGUUUCAUCAGUGUGAAAGUAUAAAAGAUCUUUUGAGGCCUAGUAAGGCAUGAUGUAUCUAGCAAUAUCACGUUAAUAAUACCGUAUAAAGUGUGGUAACACAAAGUUAUCACGUUUCAAUUCAAAGCAGACGUGUAGACAAUCAUUUAAUAAUUUGCGGUUAUUGUUAAUUUUGAGACUGUGGACUUUACACAUGAACAAUCUAGCCAAACAUUUAACACAAUCAUUGAUCAGUCAAUCGUUAUGUGAUACAAUUUAUGAUUACUUUUUUGAAAUAUGCUUAGCCUAUUGAUUGAUAUAUUUAACAAUUGUAAUAACUUGGUAUGUACAUUGUAUGUAUGUUUUUGUUUUAAUGUGUUAUCAUAUGUUAUUCUAGCAACAAUAGGUCAUUUUGGCAUAGGUUUAUUGGAGAAGCAUAGAACAGCUGACAACCCGAGGACUAUAAGAUAUCAUAGUCAUGUGUAUACAGAGUACGUUUUAAUGCAAACAACAAUAACCGUCAUCAUAUGAUCCAUCUGUCAUUUAAGUGACAGUAUUAAACAUUUGUUUUUCUGUUAAUUUUACCGAAAGAAAGGUAGAUUCGUAUUGACCACUAACACCUUUUUCUGACACAUUAUCAUUUAGGUUAUAUAGCACACAAC